UACAGAGGUGGCAAGCGUUGUUCGGAAUUACUGGGCGUAAAGGGCGAGUAGGCGGCUUCUUUAGUCAGACGUGAAAUCCCCCGGCUUAACCUGGGAACUGCGUCUGAUACUGGGAGGCUAGAGUAUGGGAGAGGGAUGUGGAAUUCCAGGUGUAGCGGUGAAAUGCGUAGAUAUCUGGAGGAACACCGGUGGCGAAGGCGGCAUCCUGGACCAUAACUGACGCUGAUCCGCGAAAGCUAGGGGAGCAAACGGG
Molecule: ribosomal RNA, 253 nt
Filed under: uncultured bacterium
Lineage: Bacteria
Description: partial 16S ribosomal RNA
Rfam family: Bacterial small subunit ribosomal RNA
Source: RNAcentral